This 82-nucleotide transfer RNA is filed under the name Anaerotruncus sp. G3(2012). It matches the Rfam family "tRNA". From Rfam's summary of the family: Transfer RNA (tRNA) molecules are approximately 80 nucleotides in length. Their secondary structure includes four short double-helical elements and three loops (D, anti-codon, and T loops). Lineage: Bacteria; Bacillati; Bacillota; Clostridia; Eubacteriales; Oscillospiraceae. The record is from Rfam by way of RNAcentral.
GCGGGCGUGGCGGAAUUGGCAGACGUGCUAGAUUUAGGCUCUAGUGGUGUAAACCGUGCAAGUUCAAGUCUUGUCGCCCGCA